Molecule: non-coding RNA, 28 nt
Filed under: Mus musculus (house mouse)
Lineage: Eukaryota; Metazoa; Chordata; Mammalia; Rodentia; Muridae
Source: RNAcentral
UGAAAGUGGCUCUGAAUUACUAAUGGUA